CCAAGGAGUCUAACAUGUGCGCGAGUCAUGGGGUUACACGAAACCUAAAGGCGCAAUGAAAGUGAAGGCAGCCUCGGGUUUGCCUAGGUGGGAUCCCUCUUUUCGCAAGGGGGCGCACAACCGGCCCGUCUCGUCCUCGUCGAGGUGAGGCGGAGCAAGAGCGUACACGUUGGGACCCGAAAGAUGGUGAACUAUGCCUGAGUAGGACGAAGCCAGAGGAAACUCUGGUGGAAGUCCGUAGCGAUUCUGACGUGCAAAUCGAUCGUCGAACUUGGGUAUAGGGGCGAAAGACUAAUCGAACCAUCUA
RNAcentral lists this ribosomal RNA (307 nucleotides) under Callochiton foveolatus. RNAcentral's name for it is "eukaryotic LSU rRNA". It matches the Rfam family "Eukaryotic large subunit ribosomal RNA", at positions 666 to 946 of the family's 3401-position model. The record is from RNAcentral. Lineage: Eukaryota; Metazoa; Mollusca; Polyplacophora; Chitonida; Callochitonidae.